UGGGGAAUAUUGCACAAUGGGCGCAAGCCUGAUGCAGCCAUGCCGCGUGUAUGAAGAAGGCCUUCGGGUUGUAAAGUACUUUCAGCGAGGAGGAAGAUGUUGUGGUUAAUAACCACAGCAAUUGACGUUACUCGCAGAAGAAGCACCGGCAAACUCCGUGCCAGCAGCCGCGGUAAUACGGAGGGUGCAAGCGUUAAUCGGAAUUACUGGGCGUAAAGCGCACGCAGGCGGUCUGUUAAGUCAGAUGUGAAAUCCCCGGGCUCAACCUGGGAACUGCAUUUGAAACUGGCAGGCUUGAGUCUUGUAGAGGGGGGUAGAAUUCCAGGUGUAGCGGUGAAAUGCGUUAGAGAUCUGGAGGAAUACCGGUGGCGAAGGCGGCCCCCUGGACAAAGACUGACGCUCAGGUGCGAAAAGCGUGGGGAGCAAACA
RNAcentral lists this ribosomal RNA (429 nucleotides) under uncultured Enterobacteriaceae bacterium. RNAcentral's name for it is "bacterial SSU rRNA". It matches the Rfam family "Bacterial small subunit ribosomal RNA", at positions 355 to 774 of the family's 1533-position model. The record is from RNAcentral. Lineage: Bacteria; Pseudomonadati; Pseudomonadota; Gammaproteobacteria; Enterobacterales; Enterobacteriaceae.